GUGACCCUGCGCCGAAAAUGUACCGGGGCUAAAACAGUUUACCGAAGCUGUGGAUGACACAAAAGUGUCAUGGUAGGAGAGCGUUCUAUGUGUGAAGAAGGUGUACCGUGAGGAGCGCUGGAACGCAUAGAAGUGAGAAUGCCGGUAUGAGUAGCGAAAGACAGGUGAGAAUCCUGUCCACCGUAAGACUAAGGUUUCCAGGGGAAGGCUCGUCCGCCCUGGGUUAGUCGGGACCUAAGGAGAGACCGAAAGGUGUAUCCGAUGGCCAACAGGUUGAUAUUCCUGUACUAGAGUAUAUAGUGAUGGAGGGACGCAGUAGGCUAACUAAACCGGACGAUUGGAAGAGUCCGGCUAAGCAGUGAGGUGUAAGAUGAGUCAAAUGCUUAUCUUUAUAACAUUGAGCUGUGAUGGGGAGCGAAUUUUAGUAGCGAAGUUAGUGAUGUCACACUGCCAAGAAAAGCUUCUAGCGUUUAAUGAUACUCUACCCGUACCGCAAACCGACACAGGUAGUCGAGGCGAGUAGCCUCAGGUGAUCGAGAGAACUCUCGUUAAGGAACUCGGCAAAAUGACCCCGUAACUUCGGGAGAAGGGGUGCUGACUUAGGUCAGCCGCAGUGAAUAGGCCCAAGCAACUGUUUAUCAAAAACACAGCUCUCUGCUAAAUCGUAAGAUGA
RNAcentral lists this ribosomal RNA (673 nucleotides) under Acinetobacter baumannii. RNAcentral describes it as "partial 23S ribosomal RNA". It matches the Rfam family "Bacterial large subunit ribosomal RNA", at positions 1153 to 1841 of the family's 2925-position model. The record is from RNAcentral. Lineage: Bacteria; Pseudomonadati; Pseudomonadota; Gammaproteobacteria; Moraxellales; Moraxellaceae.